UCGUAUACAAGUAAAGAACUCUACUCUCUAUAUCUAUAAAAACUUCUGUUGAGUUACUUCAGUCCUACAUAAACUAUUAUUAUUAUCAUCAUCGUCAUCAUCGUCAUCAUCGUUAUUAUUCUUUCUACUAUAGGCACAGAACCUCAAAGCAUUUUGUCUGAACUUCUAAUGAUUCUACCAAUCCUUCCCCUUAAUAAUUGCUUUUGACAUAAGCAGAAGGUCUGAAGUUUUGUGAGAGGUGUUAAGACAAGAAGAUUAAGCACCAGUUGACUGACCGCAGGAGGAGAAGUUGUAAAGUCGCCUCCGGUGAGAUUUGGAUUCAAACGGUACAAGGCCUGAAGUUUUGGAGGAGGGAACUAGUCAAUUACAUCGACCUUCCAGAAUUUCACUGGUACUUAAUUUAUCGAUUUCGAAAAGAUGAAAGGCAAAGUCGGCCUCGGCGGAGUUUGAACUCAGAACGUAGCGACGUGCGAAAUAUAUUGGGUUUAAUGAUAUGUUAUUCCUUCUCAUCAAUAUACUUUUCUACUCUAGGCAUAAGGCCCGAAAUUUUUUGGAAGGUUGGGGGGCAGUCGAUUAGAUCGACUCCAGUUAGUAACUGGUACUUAAUUUAUCGACCCCGAAAGGAUGAAAGGCAAAGUCGACCUCGGCGGAAUUUGAACUCAGAACGUAGCGACGUGCGAAAUAUAUUGGGUUUAAUGAUAGCUUAUUCCUUCUCAUCAAUAUAUCCGGCCUUGGGUUUAUGGAAUGAUAUUCUUCAGACCAUCUGGGUGCGUGACCCGUUUUCGAUUUCCAGCUAAACCCUUUUCAUUUUCUUCAUGAUGUCGUUGCCUUUCAAGGGAAAACUUAAUGGCAUCGCAACUUCUUAUAUCUUAUCCCUAACGAAUUUAAAAAUAUCUUAACCUUUCAAAACAGUUAAACUCGAUUCACUACUUUAAGUCAAUACUAGUGUAAACUACUGUAGUAGUCUUCUUCGCUGAUAAUCCUGACCUAUAAAGCACGUUGAUAUCUAUAAAAUGGUAGAAUCAUCUGGGAGAAAUCCAGUAAUUGUCGAGCAGAAAAAGAAGUUUACGUUGAAGAUGAAAACUGAUACUGGGUUAUUCCAAUGAUCCACUAACGGAACUAGACAACGAUAAAGACUAAUAAGGAAGAGAAUCAUUUAGCAAAGAACUUCAUGGAAAUUGUUUUACUAGGCAUUAUUUUUAUCUCAAUCAUAAAUACAAAAGCCAUGUCAUAGUGAUAGACAGAAAUGCAAUGCUAUAACACUAAUAUACUUCUCUGGAGCAAUAGCAGUUUCGCUUGGGAAAUGAAGCUAACUGGCUGAUUCCAUCAAGAGCAAACUGUUUGUUCUACAGGAUUCGCUACUUGCAUGCCUAAUUAGCACACAUGAAAUGUAAUCAAACUCUUUAAAAUGGGUGUAAAAUAUCGAUAUAUUUUUAAUGGUUUAAUCAGAAGGGAAAAGAAAAUAUUCAUGACUCUUUUCAGGACUUGCAUGAUUAGUAGGAACAUGAGAGAUGGUUAUCACCUGACUGGGGGGAAACAACGACCCCGCUACCUGCCACUCAUAACGUUUCCUUGAUAUUUACCGACCCCUUGUAAGUUCACAACGACCCCCAGAGAGCGCAACUUCCAGCUUAAGAACAACUGAUCUACAGGGUCGUUGCAGUGUUGUGACAUCUCUGUACUGUGUUAUACUAUACUAGGAAACAAUUUGUCAAUCCUCUUUCAUGAAAAAUCGGGAAUACGUGUCAAGAUGAAUGUUUGCAUUGUGUAAUAAGCAUUGUGUCAUAAUCGAAGAACCAAAGUUGAUGCUAACAUCCUACCUAUUUAUCUCUGUUACUAACGACAAAUGUUACAAGAGUAUUCCAUUAGCUUCAGAAAAAUAAGCAUUUGCAAUCAUAUCUAAUACAGAAACUUAUCAAAGCAAAACAUCAUAUAUUAAGAUUCGACGAUAUAUCAGAUUGUUUCAAUCUAAAUUUCUUGUUGUGUUCUCUGUCCUGAAAGCACAGCAGAUAGUCAUGUAAAUUUUAAGUGGUCAAUUUACCAAUAUUUCGUAUGAUGCCUCUUUCAGAAACUUUUGUUUCCAAAAGAGGUGUAAAACGUUGUUUCUUAAAACACAGAUAAAUUUGUUCUCUUUUUACCCUCUUUUGGAUUACAUGCACUAAGUAUACACAAUACACAACGACUCUUCUUCCGAAAACUUUAUCUAGCCUAAUAUCUUUUCCUGUGUAACGUCAGAGGAAAAAUUGGCUCAAACUGCGACUAUGUUCAUAAUCUUCCUGGACCAACAUAUUUGUCUGUGUAUUUAUCCUAUUGUAGUUAUUCUAUCAUUUUUUAAUCUGUUCAAAAUAAUUUCUUUUCCAA
This is a long non-coding RNA of Octopus bimaculoides (California two-spot octopus), 2361 nucleotides long. RefSeq lists it as uncharacterized. NCBI's taxonomy places the organism in Eukaryota, Metazoa, Mollusca, Cephalopoda, Octopoda, Octopodidae. The record is from RefSeq and is a predicted model, not a curated record.